Euleptes europaea (tarantolino) is the source of this 74-nucleotide small nucleolar RNA. RefSeq annotates it as small nucleolar RNA SNORD111. The record is from RefSeq and is a predicted model, not a curated record. The transcript has a single exon. NCBI's taxonomy places the organism in Eukaryota, Metazoa, Chordata, Lepidosauria, Squamata, Sphaerodactylidae.
UGGCCUGAUAUGAUGAGGUUAUGUCUCUUCUCUGACGUUUGCCGUGGAGAUGACAUUCACUUCUGAUCAGGCUG